GAUGAAUGCUGGCGGCGUGCCUAACACAUGCAAGUCGAACGAGACCUUCGGGUCUAGUGGCGCACGGGUGCGUAACGCGUGGGAACCUGCCUUUAGGUUCGGAAUAACUCAGAGAAAUUUGAGCUAAUACCGGAUAAUGUCUUCGGACCAAAGAUUUAUCGCCUUUAGAUGGGCCCGCGUAAGAUUAGCUAGUUGGUGGGGUAAAGGCCUACCAAGGCGACGAUCUUUAGCUGGUCUGAGAGGAUGAUCAGCCACACUGGGACUGAGACACGGCCCAGACUCCUACGGGAGGCAGCAGUGGGGAAUAUUGGACAAUGGGCGAAAGCCUGAUCCAGCAAUGCCGCGUGAGUGAUGAAGGCCUUAGGGUUGUAAAGCUCUUUUACCCGAGAUGAUAAUGACAGUAUCGGGAGAAUAAGCUCCGGCUAACUCCGUGCCAGCAGCCGCGGUAAU
This 450-nucleotide ribosomal RNA is filed under the name uncultured bacterium. Its description in RNAcentral is "bacterial SSU rRNA". It matches the Rfam family "Bacterial small subunit ribosomal RNA", at positions 28 to 524 of the family's 1533-position model. The record is from RNAcentral.